Paramisgurnus dabryanus is the source of this 1021-nucleotide long non-coding RNA. RefSeq lists it as uncharacterized. The record is from RefSeq and is a predicted model, not a curated record. NCBI's taxonomy places the organism in Eukaryota, Metazoa, Chordata, Actinopteri, Cypriniformes, Cobitidae.
UGUAAGUGUGCAUUAGUACAUGCUAACGAUAUUCAAAAAGUACAUACCUCAAAGAAAACGAUGACGCGAGUUAUCGUCUCUAACGUUCGAGGACUACAAAAAACACUCGGAUUGUAGGCAACAGUUUACUUCCUGGGAUUAGUGACGUAGAUAAGACCAACAUUAUCAUAGUUCAGCCCUCUCUGCUUUGCUUGGGUACGCCCUCAAAGACGAGGGUGGGGUGGGGAGCGCCGAGUCAGAAGAGAGCUAAAAUGGCGGAGGUUGGGAGUCCCUGCUUUGACUCUGUUUGCAAACUCUUGUUUCAUUGUUUAAGCGAUUAAAUCUCUCGAGUAGACGCUGUCUCUUUAGAUGCGAGGGCAAAAUAGCACUUUAUGGACUUCCACAGAGGACAUCAUGUUUAAUACGGUUCCGGAAAAAUCCAGUCAGAAGUUGUUCACGGAGUUUUCACAAUAACUGCUUCUCAUGAACCGAAGCUGGAUUUGAGCGACGUCUCCUCUUGAAAGUUGGAUUACUGUGCACUUCUGGAUCACAGACUAUUCGCAGCUGUACACAUCCUUCUACACUGUAUGCAAACAUGCAACAUCAUUACACACAGUACAAGGAGUCAGACUGGCAUAUGAGGAGCAAAGGAACCCAGACAGUAGCAUCGUUUCACAAUGUUUCCAUCAUCAUCAGUGGAUGCCUUUGCCGUCCGUAGCCUGAGAUUUCAGAUUUGCAGCAAAAAAAAAAUGAUUUUCUCAUUUAUUGGAAUGCUGUGCAGGUAUUUGUACCUUGCAGCCAUCCAUUACAAUGUCACCAAGCCGUAACAAAAGCAGGAGAGGGAAAGUACAAGGCUAUGUUCCCAAAACACAAAUGACAUACCUUAUGUGGAGGAUGUGAUCAGGCUUGUGUUUGAUGAGGUAUUUGAAGAUAAGCUGAAGGAAACCCCGAUUCCAAUGGACCUGGCAUCACAGUUUGAGAGACCUUCAAAGGAGGACGUGAUUGCAUGCCAUCUUCAGUGCAGGGGUCGUCGAAAGCCAAA